RNAcentral lists this ribosomal RNA (250 nucleotides) under uncultured bacterium. Its description in RNAcentral is "partial 16S ribosomal RNA". It matches the Rfam family "Bacterial small subunit ribosomal RNA", at positions 524 to 773 of the family's 1533-position model. RNAcentral also lists the same sequence under 1 other name. The record is from RNAcentral.
UACAGAGGGUGCGAGCGUUAAUCGGAUUUACUGGGCGUAAAGGGCACGCAGGCGGCUAUUUAAGUGAGGUGUGAAAUCCCCGGGCUUAACCUGGGAAUUGCAUUUCAGACUGGGUAGCUAGAGUACUUUAGGGAGGGGUAGAAUUCCACGUGUAGCGGUGAAAUGCGUAGAGAUGUGGAGGAAUACCGAAGGCGAAGGCAGCCCCUUGGGAAUGUACUGACGCUCAUGUGCGAAAGCGUGGGGAGCAAAC